ACAUACAUACAUAUGUAUGUACAUAGGUGUACAUGUAUGAAAACAAAAGGUGAAGCGGAGAUUGAAAUAAAUUAUGACUCUGUCAAACGCACUUUGCAAAGAAAAAGACAGCCUUUCUUGCCAAAGCCUCCAUCUUCUGCAGAGAAUGUUCUGGAAGCUUUUCAAGACGAAAAUAUUAUGAACCGUUUUGGAAUAACCAAGGGAAAUACUGCAAAUCAGUUCUAUAAAAAAGUGUACGCAUCGAGCUCGUUUGCUUAUUGCAUAUUUUCAUCAGACAAGGUAAUCACCUUGAUGCAAGCCAACAUUCCGGAGCAUAAUAGGCAUUAUUUAAUUGAUGCUACAUUUAAAGUGUGCCCUUUUGGAGAUUUUAAGCAACUUUUAAUAAUUUAUAUUAAAUAUUUGCAGAAGAUAACCCCUUUUGUUUUUGUUUU
Molecule: long non-coding RNA, 431 nt
Organism: Drosophila miranda
Lineage: Eukaryota; Metazoa; Arthropoda; Insecta; Diptera; Drosophilidae
Exons: 3
Source: RefSeq, a predicted model, not a curated record